GACGAACCGAGCGAACGUUGUUCGGAAUCACUGGGCUUAAAGGGCGCGUAGGCGGGCUGCCGCGUCCGGGGUGAAAUCCACCGGCUCAACCGGGGGACGGCCUCGGAUACGGGCGGCCUCGAGGGGGGUAGGGGCAUCUGGAACUGUGGGUGGAGCGGUGAAAUGCGUUGAGAUCCACAGGAACUCCGGUGGCGAAGGCGAGGUGCUGGACCCCAUCUGACGCUGAGGCGCGAAAGCCAGGGGAGCGAACGGG
This 253-nucleotide ribosomal RNA is filed under the name uncultured bacterium. Its description in RNAcentral is "partial 16S ribosomal RNA". It matches the Rfam family "Bacterial small subunit ribosomal RNA", at positions 524 to 776 of the family's 1533-position model. The record is from RNAcentral.